This 585-nucleotide ribosomal RNA is filed under the name Escherichia coli. RNAcentral's name for it is "partial 23S ribosomal RNA". It matches the Rfam family "Bacterial large subunit ribosomal RNA", at positions 605 to 1191 of the family's 2925-position model. Lineage: Bacteria; Pseudomonadati; Pseudomonadota; Gammaproteobacteria; Enterobacterales; Enterobacteriaceae. The record is from RNAcentral.
CUUUUGUAUAAUGGGUCAGCGACUUAUAUUCUGUAGCAAGGUUAACCGAAUAGGGGAGCCGAAGGGAAACCGAGUCUUAACUGGGCGUUAAGUUGCAGGGUAUAGACCCGAAACCCGGUGAUCUAGCCAUGGGCAGGUUGAAGGUUGGGUAACACUAACUGGAGGACCGAACCGACUAAUGUUGAAAAAUUAGCGGAUGACUUGUGGCUGGGGGUGAAAGGCCAAUCAAACCGGGAGAUAGCUGGUUCUCCCCGAAAGCUAUUUAGGUAGCGCCUCGUGAAUUCAUCUCCGGGGGUAGAGCACUGUUUCGGCAAGGGGGUCAUCCCGACUUACCAACCCGAUGCAAACUGCGAAUACCGGAGAAUGUUAUCACGGGAGACACACGGCGGGUGCUAACGUCCGUCGUGAAGAGGGAAACAACCCAGACCGCCAGCUAAGGUCCCAAAGUCAUGGUUAAGUGGGAAACGAUGUGGGAAGGCCCAGACAGCCAGGAUGUUGGCUUAGAAGCAGCCAUCAUUUAAAGAAAGCGUAAUAGCUCACUGGUCGAGUCGGCCUGCGCGGAAGAUGUAACGGGGCUAAACCAUG